UGGAGGUUGGUGAAGUAGUUGUUGUCGAAGCCAUUAGGGGUGGUGGGGUCCAAGUCGACCAAUGUGUUCCUGCUGCUACACGACUGGCAGAGCUCUUCUAGGUACGUGGGUUCCAGGGUUGAGGCCGGGGUGUUGGAGUUAAGGCGUUGAUCAAACGUCAAGCACCGAGCUUUGCCGAUUGUAUGAGCACCUAAGAAAGUAAAUUUGCAUGCUGUUAGAAGAGAAAGAAAGCAAAUAGUAUGGUUGUGGCAAUUGGCCUCUUACUAUGCAAGCGAUAAAUGAAGAGAUAAAAGUACUGAAAAAUUACAUUUCAUAAUGAUAAAACUCAAAUAUAGACAUUACAUUUGAUACGAGGGAAUCUUUACCUUUAAACCAUUAAUCCUUUCAUCUUUGUUAAAGGGUUAUUUUGAUAAUUUCAUUUUCAAGAAAUGAAGAAAUUAAUUAAGACUAGAUUUGGUAAAUCAAUUAAUUAAUUAAAUAUAAUUACCAGAUAAAGCAACCAUAUCGGUGGAGCCAAGUCCAACAUCCGAGAAUUUUUUUCUAAUUUGGUCGAAGGUGUCAAAAGGGCCUGGGAUGGCACUAGUACCAGCACUAUUUGCUGUAGUGCUGUCUCUUCUCCCAAACUGAACUUCCCAUGGAUUUGAUGGACCCCCAUCCUGCAAAAUGAACAUCCAAUAUAUAUAUAUAAACAUCCAAUGCAUUCAUUAAUUUAACACACAUAUAUAUAUAUAUAUAUAUAUAUAUAUAUAUAUAUAUGUGUGUGUGUGUGUGUGUAUCACAGCUUGAGAUUUUUGACAAAUGCAAGUAUAUCCCUUAUCCCUUGUAGUUUAUGGAGAGGUUAUGAAAUAUACUUUUGAAAGUUUUAAACUAUUAUCCUCUUGUGACAGGAGAAAUUUUAAAAUUUAUAAAAUUUUGUCUUAUUUAUUUAAAAGAGUCGAUUAUAAUGGAAAAAAAAUUAGCUUAUUUUCAAAAAAAUAGAGUGUAAUUGGAGAAAAUUAGAGUGUGAAAAUCACUAUCCCAUAUAUUUAAUUAUUAAUUUAGCUUGGUUAUUCAUAAGAAAUAGUGAAUGAAGAAAUUGAAGUACCAAAGUGACAGAAAUUUGAGAAGCAAGGGCCAAAAUGUCAGAACACGAAACGACGCCGGGGCAGACAUUCUCUAAGGCAGUCUUGAUGUCAUCAACCACAUCAUAGCCAGCAACUGUUUCAUUUGGGACUUCAUCUUUCUCAGUAUUUAUUCCAUCUGCAUUGUCCAGCAAAAGAGACCCAUCGCACCCCUGUAAUAAUAAAUUUAAUUAUUUAAAACAAGACAUUGAAAAAUAUUAAAAUAGAGAUUUUUAUUUUUAAAAAAAUAAAAUAGAGAAAUAAGAAUGAUCAAUGAAAUAAUAAAAAUUGUCAAAUUGGGAAACAAAACGUAAGAGAGGGAGAGCUAGUGACGUGGAAAGAGAGAGAAAAAUAGACAGACGGAUAAAAUACAUAAUUUUUGACCCGCAUAAUUUAUGUGGGCAGAUUGGUUUUUUUUGGUGAUUUUUUUUUGUGAAGGCCAAAAUAAUAAUUUAAAAAAACAAGGUGUUAUGCUGAAUUGACACUCAUGGUACAUACAUGGGAUAGCUUGUAAAAAAAAGUUUCAAGCUCCAAGCAAAUGAGAGGAUAGACGAGUGAAAGAGUUAUAUUAAUACUUGAUUUAAAAUGUAAAGAGCGAUUCGAUACAAUUAGAAGUGAAUGUGCAAAGUAAGAUUUUAAUAAAAGUGUAAAAGUGUAAUGUCUAAUUUACCCAAUUUUUUGAUUAGCCUGGUUUGAUGAACCACGUAUGUGGAAAAUAUGGGAAGAGAAAGAGAGAAAAAAAGUAUUACAUUGACGAAGCAAUCAUGGAAAUGAAGCCGAAUGAGUUUGGCGCCAAUUCGAGCAUCACUCCGUCGAGCCUGCUCCAAGACCCCUCGUGCCACGCUCGACGCAUUCGGGCAUGUGGUAUCGUAAAAUUUGGCACUCAAUUGAGCAUUAGCAGAGCCUCCAAAAAUGGAAACCAAGAAGAGAGCUAAAGCUAGAAAUUGAAAUGAAUUCAUGAGGAUUGUUUUCUUUUGUUUGCUAGAUAUGUUAAAACUUGGAAAUAAGAGGUUUGCUUUAAGCACGAGCCUAGUGUUGUUCUUGUGUGGUAUGUGUUUCAUUGAGAAACCUUUUUAUAGAGAGUAGUAGUUGACAAGGUUAGUAAUUAGGUCCAAGGAUGUAGAAAUUUCUUCCUUGAACUUUUCAUUUGAGUUGAAAUUUUCAAAUCAUGAGGGACCUCAUAAUGCAUUAACUAUGAGUUUGAAAUGAAUGUGUACUCGGCAUAUAGAAAUUUCUUCAUGAGGGGCCUCAUAAUGCAUUCAUUAUUAGUUUGAAAUUUCUUUCUUCUUGUUAUUUUUUAUUCUAUGUAUAUGAGAACUUGCAAUUUAUUUCUAAAACUGAUCUUAGAAGUAAUCAACUCAUUGGACAUAUGGAAAUGUGGAACGUUCUGUUAGUGACAAGGGUUAUAGGGUAAUUUCCUUUAUUGGCUUUCCUUAGUUCAAUUGAUUUAUAGUAACUGAACUUGUUUCAUCCAAAUUGAUUGUGUGAUCACAAGUCUAUUUGCCUGCCUUGUUCUCUCUCUCUAAAAUGUAAAGUAAGUACUUGACGUAGCAAAGUCUUAAUAUCGUGUUUGGAUUAACGGAUUUAUUGGAGGAAAAUGCAAUAGAAAGAGCAAAGGUAAUGAAUGUAACGGUUCAAAUUUAGUCAUUUUGCUUUAUUUUUCUUUUCUCUCCACAAAUAUCUCUUAAAUCGUUAAUUCAAAAAAAUCUAUUAAGGCCCUUAGGAAAUGGGCUUGAGUGUAAUUAAGGUUGUGUUUGAAACUUUGAAUUAAGAAUUGUGUGGAGGAAAAGAAAAUAAAAAAGUUAGUAGAUUCCAACUGUUCAGAUUUUAAUGUUUACUCUUUAAAUUUUUUUUAUUCAAAUCUCUCCUUUAAUUCAUCAUCCAAACGCAGCCUAAGGAACAAUGGAAAGAUUUUUUUAUUCAACUUUUAUAAUGAAUUAAGCUUCCAUGCACAGUAAUUGCAGUUUUAAGUAUUAAUUUUUUCUUUUUUGGGUAUAUACAAGUUAAGUUCAAAAUUUUAAAUAUUAAGGAAGUGGGUGAAUUUUAUUUUAGAUUACCAAUAAGUUUUUUUUGAGUAAGUUAAUUCACUUGAACCAAAGUAAAUCUAGACAAGCAUAGGCGGAGCUACAUAGAUCUCAGUGGGUUCAAUUAGAAUUUUUAAAAACUUAUAUGAAUUUAUAUGUAUAUUUGAUAUUUUAAUUUAAAUAUAGACAUUAAUGCGUUUUAAUAUCUAAUAUAAGAUGAAAUCAUGAGGUCAAAUUCUAUAAAUUAAAAUUUAAUUUUUGCUUAAUAACCUUACUUGGUAAAAACACUCUGGCUCUGCUAAAAUAAGGACAGGUUCUGAACUUCUGAUAGCAAAACCGAACAGAGAACAAAGUGAGAUUUGGUAACCAAAAUUCAUUAUAAUUUUUUUUUGGGUCUCAAACACUAGUUUCAUUACAACGAGGGUUCCUUCCUUUAAAGACAAGUUUCCUCUAAUGGUAAUUACAAAAAUAAUAAUUAUUAUUAGUUAAUAUAAUACAAAACGUGUAGGGUAGUCAAAUUAGGGGGCUCAGACAAAGUCCUACACUAGAAACCUUCUUCCUUGUGAUUUAUUAAUUAUGUGAAGAAGAAUAGAUCAAUUUAAAUAUAGUCACACACACAAACACACACAUAUAUAUUGGGGAAAUUUCAUUUCAGUGGUAAAUAGGGAUAAUAAUAUCAAAUCAGAGGGGCUGACAUUAUUGAGGAUUUAUCUUUAGAGGAACUUUGGAUUGUGUAAAUUUUUGUUUUCUUUAAGAGAAACUCUAUGGUUCCUGAAUUUGAAUCAACAAAUGUUAUUCGAAUUAAAAAUGGAUAGUAUAAAUUUACUUUAUUACGUAACCCUCACACUCUGAAUUAUUAAUUUUAAAUUCAAAAAAAAUUUGUUUGUCCAAAUGUGGGGACAAUAACGUUACUGUUUUUUUAAUAAGGAGUUGGUUUAGUGAUUGAAUUGUUAAGGCCUUUACUAAGCAUGCUAGGCUCGAGUCUUGCAGCUACAAAGUGUAACGUUCCGUAUUGUAAAAUAUAGAACAAAAAUUCCUUUUUUUCUUUCCUUUUUAGGUUACUUGAAACUAGAUUUGGCUUGCAUUUAGUUUAAAUGUAUCCAUAUCCUUUGAAAUAUUUGAUUGAGCAAGUUGAUACCUGUAUAUGCUUGCAUUUUGUGUUUGUGAAAAAAAGGGAAAAUUAAAGAAAAAGGAAAUUACUUUUAAAUAUUUUAUCUUUAAUAGGUAACAACAUAAAAAAAUAUUUUUAAUGAAACAACAUAGUAGUUUUCUUCUAAUUUUUCUAAUUCAAAUAGACUAAAAAAGAAGAGGAAAGAGUCAGCUUUUUUCACUUCAUUUUUUGCUCUGCCCUUUCUAGCCGGUACUUAGGGAGAGAUUUACAGAGUAAAAAAAAAAUAAAAAAAAUAAAAAAAAAUUAAAUUUCAACCAUUUUAUACACUUUGUUUUCUUUUUUUUUUUAACUAAAUUCUUAAUUCAAACACAACCUUACUUUUUUAUCCACGGAUGUUUUUUAUUUAAAUACAGAAUAAUAACGAUUGAUUUCUUAUUGGACAUGGUCCUGAAAUGCAACUUUUGAACCCCGGAAGGACAAAUAGAGUUAUGCAUUUUGACAAAUAUAAGCAACUACUAUUUUUCUUUCUGGUACCAUUAUUUGCUUCUUUGAUUUUUCUGGAUUAGGGGUUAAUGCAUGAGACAGGGUCAUGAAACAGUUAAUAGAAGUCUAUUCACUCCAUUUCAUCGAGUUCAACAUGUAAUUGCAUUAAUCCAUAUAUUUAUGAUCUGUAGAAAAAAGUGUAUUUAUCUCUAGAAAUUAACACUAGAUUAAUUAACAAGAAAAAGACAUGAACAUAUAAUUGGCAAAUUUAUCCAUUUUGGCUAAAUUUUGCUAAGAAAGUCCAUAAAUUAUUUUGUUUUCCUUAAAAAGAAAAACAAACAAUUGGCAAAUUGUGUGUUGGAGAUGCUCGGGCGUGUCAAGAUUGGGCUUGGUCUGAGUGGAUGAACUGACUUCUAAUUUGACGAAUUGCUUGUGGCGAGAAAACCCACCCCCAAUUCUUUUUUGUCUUGGUGCGUUAACUUCACAAUUUCUUAAAUAAUGUAGAAACAAGACGAAGCGCGAAACUUAAAAAUAAAAUUGAUAAAGUUGAUCAUUGAUUGCAAGCUAGGAAAGAAAAGUUACAACUGCAAAUUGGAAUUGAAAAUUACAUAAAGAAAAGAUAAUUGACUGAAAAUAAAAAUUUACUGAAAUUGAUGGAGUGCUGGAGCUUGUGUGGUCGGUGACCUUUGCAAAUCCUUUGGAAAUUUUUAUUUAUAGAGCUUCCAAACAUUUCUUCCAUGUCCAUGCCGGACGGUUACUCACAUAAACACAGCACCCACGAACCCAUUUUUGCAUUCAAACAGUGCUCCCAGAUCCAUAGCCAUUGAUCUCUCGGGUCAAAUCUAGAAAAUCUUGAUCUUGUCUUGAGGAAGCAUGCCCACCUGUGAGCCCGGAACGCUGGAUCACCUCAUGAGCUCAGAGAUUAAUUAGGAGUAAUAAAUGGCAGUUGUUGCCAUUAUAUACUACCGCAAAAAUGUCAGUGGAAACAUCCUUUUCCUCAUGGAAAUGAUUCCAUGCUUCUCCUCCUCUUUAUUAGAUGCGUUCCAACCUCCCCAUGCUCGCCACGUGUCCUCUUUACUGAGGUAUAAACACAAUGGUCCCUAAAUUAUUCACCCAGUAUCACUUUGGUCCCCUUUGUACUAAUUAUGCUAUGUAGAUUUUUGGUGGAAACAUUAGAAUUUCGAGAUUCAUCAAUUUCAUUGCAAUUCGUUGUUCUUUGAUUAUCUGCCAGAAUUUGAAGGAGCAACAUUAGAAUUAGUUUUUUUUUUUUUUGCAUUCAUGUUCCUGCAGAAAAGAUGUGCUUUUAGUGUAAAUAAAUUUUAUUGUGUCAUAGAAAAAUCGAUGGCUUAUAGAUACUUCAAGCUUGUGGCAUCUCAAGAUUUAUUCAUAUUCAUUACCAAAAUCAUAGGUAUUGGUCAUUAGGAAGAUGAAGUCUUGUUCGAUCGACUUCUAUAUAAGGGGACUUGUUUGCUAUUGAUUUUCGUUUCCUGUUUUCUCCUUUUGUUUUCCAAAUGUUUCUCGUUUCGGUUUCCAAAAAAUGCAGUUUUUUGCAAAUAAAUAUGAAUUCUCUUUAGGGGUCUUGUUGGAUAUCGAUUUUCAUUUCCUGCUUUGUGUUUUCUGCAGUUUUUCUGAAAGAACCCCUUCUUCAGAAAACACCAAAAAUACAUUUUCAGACUUUCCAAAACAUUUAGUUUUUGCAACAAAAUGUGACUUCCAUUUAGGGGACUUGUUUUCGAUUGAUUUUCAUUUUCUGUUUUCUGAAUUCAUUUUGGUGUUUUUUGAAAAAUGAUUUUUUGUCAGAAAGUUUCGGAAAAUUUUUGCAGACUUUCCAAAACAGAUUUUGCAACAAAAUAUGAGCGAUAGAAAAACAGAAUCUGGUUUCAAACUUCCAUUGUUUUCAUUUCCAUCUAUUUUCGUUUGUCAGGCCUCUGAAUCGAUAUUUUUCCUUCAUCCUACCAUUGUUCUGAUAGUUCCUCAUGUUUAAUCAGGCUUUAUUUGCGUUUGCAUUGAUCUCUAUGUCGUCGGCAUAUAGUAAUUGUUUAAAAUAGCAUCUGGAUUUUUUAAUUGGGCUCUCAGACCUAAAUAUUGCAGUCUUGCAGGGAUUAAGAAUGUUAACGAAUAAAGUAUAAGCAGGUGAACUCCAUUCAGCAUAUAGUAGUUGUUUAAAAUAGCAUCUGAAUUUUUUAAUUGGGCUCUCAAACCUAAAUAUUGCAGUCUUGUAGGGAUUAAGGAUGUCAACGAAUAAGGUAUAAAUAGGUGAAAUCCAUACCCGAUAUCCGAAUUCAAACUAUAUAUAUUCCCAUACACAUACUCAAUACAUAUCCAAAGUUUAUAUUUAAAAGCUACCAAUUUCCAAAACCAAUGGGGAUUAGGUAAUUCCACUAAUUAAUACCUAAUAUGCAAUUCCGAAGAGAGAUUGAUUUCGACGAGACAAAGCCACAAAGCCCUUGAUGGUAUGAUAGUGACAGGGAGAGGCCAAGAGCAACAAGGAGGGGGCGUACCCAUGCCAUAUCUGAACAAAUAUUUCACGCAUUUUACAAACGUACAAUACCUGUGGCGAACUGACAAAAAAUAUUGGAUAAAACCUAGAUGCAAAUGGUUUCGGUUUGGGCCUUUAUUAAGUUCAGGUUAAAUUGUCAUCUCCAUCCGGGACAAAUAAAAGAACUCUUCACAAUGAUAUAGUAUUAAUUUAGGUUAAUUAUGGAAUUGGUAAUUUGCUAAUCAUCUGUUCAUCAGUGGUUCAAAAUCAUAUAUAUUGCAUUGAACUAAAUGUUGAUGUGCUAUCCCCAAGAUGAAGCCUUACUCUUUGAGCUGAAUGUUGGUGCUUAAAUGCAUGGUACUUCGAAAAUUGCAUAUUAUGUGCUAUCUUUUGGUUAGAAGAGUAUAUGUCAAUGCCCACAAACAUUGGUGCCUCAAAGGUGGAGUGAGAGGAUAUGCGCUCUCUCUCUCUCUCUCUGAUAAUAAAUUUGAAGAUUUUUAGGACUCAACUGCAUGCUUGAUCUAACACUUAAUUCCUAAUCUAUGGUUGUCUCUUGAUACUUUGGUCACUCCCACAUUACAUUGGUCUUGUCAUUUUAAAAUUGAAAUAUUAAGUUCAAAUUAUAGUAAGUGUUUGGUUCAUCCUUGUAAGUUAAUUUAUUUAUAUUAUUUGCCUAAAAAAGUUGAGUAACAGUGUUUGGCAGCAAUUUUAAUUUAUUAAUUUGACCCCCCAAAGUGAGAUUUUUUAAGCUUUGAUUUAUAGUUUUUUAUGGAUUAUUUGAACCAUUUAAAAUAUUUUUAAUAAAAAGAGCUCAUACUUUUAGGAAAAUUACACUAAUCUCCCCUGAGAUUUACCUUUAAUUCGGGUUUUCGUCUAAAGUUUGAAAAAUUAUACUAACUCGCCUUUCAGAGUUGGUGUUCUAGUUGUGGAGAUAGAAAUUAUUUAAAUACCCCUAUGUGUUAUGUCACACAAACUAAAAUACCCUCUCUCUCUCUCUCUCUCUCUCUCUCUCUCUCUCUCUCUCUCCUAUAAUCUUGCAUCCACCGCCACCACCGCUGCUCCCACUCCAACUCUCAUUCUCAUCACCUUCAUCAACCUCUUAUAGAAAUCACAACCCUCCCAUCAAACUUAAUUUGAAAUGUUCUUUUGGAUACUUUGAAGAAAAUCAAACUAAAACUGAAGCUUUCUUAGCUUUCUUUUGGGUGAUUUAGAGACAAUUAAAUACAAUUUAAAAUGGUUUUUUGUGUAAUUUUAGAAAAACUAAACCCAAAUUAAAAAAAAUUAAAUCCAAUUUGAUUUUUGUUUGUGAGAGAGAGAAAUUUUGUCCACAAAUUAAACACAAUUUGUGGUGGUGGAUGCAUGAUUAUAGGGGAGAGAGGGUUGGUUGGAGUGAGAGGUUUAAAAUUGGGUUCUGUUACUGACAUCAUCCAAAUGGGGGAAAAUUAUGAUUUAACUUUAAACCUCAUGGGAGGUUAGUGUAAUUUCUAGAAGGUGAGAGAUGAAUCUGUAUUAAACUUAAAUCUCUGGGAGGUCACUGUAAGUUUCCCUACUAUUUUCACUUAAAUACCGAAAAGUUUUAAAGGAAGAACCUUUACAAUUUAAAUAUUUAUUUUACGAAAAGCUAAUUGACAAUUUACCUAAUAAAUUUACUGCAGCCUGUCACAUAUAAUUGAACGAACCAAUUUUGAAUUAUUCGGAUCUUGAUGAGGGUUAAAUUGGAACUUGAUUUGACUUAUUUGAAACUUCAAGGACGAAAGUAUGGUUUAUAAUGAACUGCAAGGGUGCAAAUUGUAAAUUACUCAACUUAUAGAAUAUCCGCAAUACCAAUAGUAAUGAAAAAGAGAGAAACCAAUCUCCUCGCUCCACCCUUUUAUUCCAUCAACAAUUGAAUGCAAAUUCUUACAUAGCAUCACAAUUUUUUUAUUAAUCAUGAAACACCUCCAAUCACGAGACCACUUAAUUAACCCUCUUGCAAUCAGACCUUAUCUGCCCAUUAUUUCCGGUCAAAGGACUUAUAUUUCCUAUUUUGACCAUGGAUUGCCCAAAGUUGUCAAAGAAAUCGCUUUGGCUGCUUGCAAACUGGUUCACGAUGGGAAUGGUGUCAGAACCAUUGGUCGAGAACAGAAAUUGGUCGGUUGUGAGAAGCCCUUUGUUGUUCUGGAGGUUGAUGUAGUAGUUGUUGUCGAACUCGUUAGGGGUGGUGGGGUCAAAGUCGACCAACGUCUGCGGGGUGCUGCACGCUUGGAUGAGCUCUUCUCGGUAAGUGGGGUCCAGGGUCGAGUCUGGGGGGUCAAAGCGUUGAUUAAACGUUGCGCAUCGAGCUUUGCCGAUUGUAUGAGCAC
Molecule: long non-coding RNA, 9539 nt
Filed under: Actinidia chinensis (golden kiwifruit)
Lineage: Eukaryota; Viridiplantae; Streptophyta; Magnoliopsida; Ericales; Actinidiaceae
Description: long non-coding RNA (ACHI_LNC003043)
Source: RNAcentral